AGGUCUUGACAUCCUCUGAAAACCCUAGAGAUAGGGCUUCUCCUUCGGGAGCAGAGUGACAGGUGGUGCAUGGUUGCCGUCAGCUCGUGUCGUGAGAUGUUGGGUUAAGUCCCGCAACGAGCGCAACCCUUGAUCUUAGUUGCCAUCAUUAAGUUGGGCACUCUAAGGUGACUGCCGGUGACAAACCGGAGGAAGGUGGGGAUGACGUCAAAUCAUCAUGCCCCUUAUGACCUGGGCUACACACGUGCUACAAUGGACGGUACAAAGAGCUGCAAGACCGCGAGGUGGAGCUAAUCUCAUAAAACCGUUCUCAGUUCGGAUUGUAGGCUGCAACUCGCCUACAUGAAGCUGGAAUCGCUAGUAAUCGCGGAUCAGCAUGCCGCGGUGAAUACGUUCCCGGGCC
This 403-nucleotide ribosomal RNA is filed under the name uncultured bacterium. RNAcentral's name for it is "bacterial SSU rRNA". It matches the Rfam family "Bacterial small subunit ribosomal RNA", at positions 976 to 1380 of the family's 1533-position model. The record is from RNAcentral.